ACAUGCAGUCGACGCUUUUUCUUUCACCGGAGCUUGCUCCACCGAAAGAAAAAGAGUGGCGAACGGGUGAGUAACACGUGGGUAACCUGCCCAUCAGAAGGGGAUAACACUUGGAAACAGGUGCUAAUACCGUAUAACACUAUUUUCCGCAUGGAAGAAAGUUGAAAGGCGCUUUUGCGUCACUGAUGGAUGGACCCGCGGUGCAUUAGCUAGUUGGUGAGGUAACGGCUCACCAAGGCAACGAUGCAUAGCCGACCUGAGAGGGUGAUCGGCCACACUGGGACUGAGACACGGCCCAGACUCCUACGGGAGGCAGCAGUAGGGAAUCUUCGGCAAUGGACGAAAGUCUGACCGAGCAACGCCGCGUGAGUGAAGAAGG
RNAcentral lists this ribosomal RNA (379 nucleotides) under Enterococcus casseliflavus. RNAcentral describes it as "bacterial SSU rRNA". It matches the Rfam family "Bacterial small subunit ribosomal RNA", at positions 53 to 414 of the family's 1533-position model. The record is from RNAcentral. Lineage: Bacteria; Bacillati; Bacillota; Bacilli; Lactobacillales; Enterococcaceae.